UGUACACGAUCAAAUGGGCAGUUAUUACAUAAAGUUUCCUCAUUUUGGCUUUUUUAAUUUGAUUCACAGAUCCAUAUAUAAAGCUAAUCCCAUCACCGAGUCAUAUUACCACUAUUCAUUCUCGUGUAUCUCUAUCUCUCUCUGUUUGUGCUUCUCUCUAACUUUUUUUGCAGAGAUCAAUGUUGAAGACCCGAGGAGCAGGUUCGUCCAAGAAUGCCGACAAGGGAACCCCGACAGACCUCACCUAGAAAGGAUCUCUCUCCAAGAUCAAAGGGAGAAACACGACGAUGAAUCCUAGAGAAAGGGCCUCGUAAUUGCAUAAUUCCACCAUUAACCGCCCUUCUACUGGAAGUUUCUUAAAUUCCAGCCUCGAAGUUGCAGAUUGAGAAAACUUCGACUGAGUCAGAAGUCUCUUAUCCUGAAUCCCACAGAUUUGAUCAUGAGGAACAGGUUCUAGAUACUAAGAAAUCCAAGGAUGGGAUCUAUACCACCGACUCCUCAAAGACUGCGUCUGAUUCAUCUCCUUUGCCUGAUGUUCUUGUGAAGAAAGUGGUGGCCAAAUCUAUUGCUGUGAAGGUGUCCAAAUCCAUUGCUGAGAAGCUUUACUCUUCAUCCAAAUCCAAAAAGGCUACCAAGACAACUUCCUCAACCUCUUUGGACUUAGUAAAUCCAACACCAAAGGUCUCUCGUCUUCGAAAAGUGCCUCCGCCCUGUUCGUCCUCAGAAAAAGAAGGUGAUGAGUCUGCCACUGAAUCUAAUUUUCUUGAAUUUGAUUAUGAAGAAGAAGACUCUACUGUGGAGUUGAAUGCUCAUAUUUUUUAUUUUGAGUUUGAUCAUUUAGAGGAAAUGGUUGACCUUCAUGUUGUUACAUCUCCAAAAGUGGUAAAAAGGGGCCCUAUCCUAUUCUUGUUGUGAAAUUGACACCAUUGAAGGAACUAUCGGCAUCCAAGUCUGUUGGUAAAAAGCCCAUGACUAAAAUUUCCCCAAAACAAAUCAAUUGAACUUGGUGACCCACUCCUCUCCAGAGUCUCUACCCAAGGUUGGCACAUGACUUCCGGUGAAUCUGUCUAAGGUGAUCAUGUAUUAGAUUCUAUCUCUGAUCAAAGGACAACAAAAGUCUCAAUUUCUGGUGUUUCCUAGUAUCAUAUACAAAAUCCUAUCUUCAAAACAUGCUCUCAAAUUUGCUAAUGAAACGACGGUAGCUAUUUAGAAAGGCAAUACCUACAAGGUAAAAGCGGAAACUACCCAAGGCUCUUCCAAGCGUGUCAAUCCUGCUGCUCUUACAAUCAAAUCCACUGACGGGUUAGGCGGCUCUGCGGAUGUUCCUGCCUGUGAGUCUAAACUGUCUGCCUUGAAGGCCACCAUUGGAAUCAUUCAAUUCAACCUGACUACCUUCCUGGAGAAAAUCGCUGGCCUUGCUAAGACUCAGCAACUUCUUCUUGACAAUGUGCUCAUUCUUUGUGCCACUUCAUCAAAGACAAAGAAGUAGUCGGUCUCUCUUUCAUUGUUUUUGAGAUUUUUGUUGUUGGUUUAAGACUUUGUUUAUGUUUUGAAGUUUUAUGCUUUAUUUUGAAACUAUGGUUUAUACUUUGGGCCUUUGUUAGUAAAAAAGGGGGAGUAUUAUGGUUGUUUUUAAUGUUUUUUUUUUUCUGUUAUUUUGGACAUCUUUCAAAGGGGGAGAAAUUGAAUUUUCAGUUUGAUAUUUUGAUAUAUCUCUUCCUUUUUCUUAUUUGUGAUAUUGCCUAACCAUUUUAUGCACGGGGAUUUUUGGUUAAUUUUUUCAAGUCCAAACUAACACUUUUUGAUGAGGCUGAUUGAGUAUUAUAAAAAAAAGCUUCUGUUUAUAAAGUUGCCAAAUGGGGAGAUUGUAAAAUCCAUAAGUUGGAAAACUUAUAUUUGGCAUUUUUUAUAUUCCUCCAUUCAUUUUAUGGAAAUCUCACAAAGUCAAUUUUCUUUUUAAUUAAAGAUUUUUUAUGGAAAUAAAACAUCUUUGGUUAUUUCUUUAAAUAGUGUGAUUUCUAUUAUGUCUUUUAUAUCACAUUUCAUAAAUCAAUUAUGUAUAUUUCUGUUUGAUUUUUAUGAAUUGAUUAUCUUAAAUUCCCUUGUGAUUUUCAUAUCAAAGGAUGGUGGCUUGUUUCCCUUUCUUAGUAUGUCCAGGGAUAUUCUUCCCUGAUUUUGUGAUCUGCAAAAGAAGGUCUUCUACCUGCUAUAAAUAGGAGUCUUUCUAGCAAGGGAGAUUCACUUCUUCACAGUCCAUAUUGUUUUAUUAUUAUUGAAGAGUGAGAUUUGUAUUUGUGUGAGAGUAAGAGUGGAAAUACUUAGUCUUGUGUUGUAGUGCAUGUUGCAUGUUAUAUUGAUACACUUUAGGAUUUAAGGUGUAAUUUCCAUUGUGGAUACUUAUACAGUUGAAUGUGUGGUCCUUGAUAAUGAAGGAAACAAUCUGUUAAAAGGUCUUCGCUCAAUUGAUAAUUGUUACACUU
Molecule: long non-coding RNA, 2480 nt
Organism: Humulus lupulus (European hop)
Lineage: Eukaryota; Viridiplantae; Streptophyta; Magnoliopsida; Rosales; Cannabaceae
Exons: 3
Source: RefSeq, a predicted model, not a curated record